CAGUCGCCACGGUAAUACGGAGGGUGCAAGCGUUAAUCGGAAUUACUGGGCGUAAAGCGCACGCAGGCGGCUUUUUAAGUCGGAUGUGAAAUCCCUGAGCUUAACUUAGGAAUUGCAUUCGAUACUGGGAAGCUAGAGUAUGGGAGAGGAUGGUAGAAUUCCAGGUGUAGCGGUGAAAUGCGUAGAGAUCUGGAGGAAUACCGAUGGCGAAGGCAGCCAUCUGGCCUAAUACUGACGCUGAGGUACGAAAGCAUGGGGAGCAAACAGGAUUAGAUACCCCUGUAGUCCCUGUCUCUUAUAA
RNAcentral lists this ribosomal RNA (301 nucleotides) under uncultured bacterium. RNAcentral's name for it is "partial 16S ribosomal RNA". It matches the Rfam family "Bacterial small subunit ribosomal RNA", at positions 509 to 809 of the family's 1533-position model. The record is from RNAcentral.